AAUUAUCAAUUAAAGAGAAAGAAUUUACUGGUAUUGGAAUGAAAUUUCUUCCAAUUGCCAAAAAAAAUAAAAAUAAAAAUAAAAAAAUUUCAAGGAAAUCAUCUAUCUUUUAGUGUUCGUUUGGCUUUGUUUUACAUAAAAAUUCUCAAUUAAAGGAAAUUUUUUUUUAUACAAUUAGAGAUAGAAUUGUUUCCAUUGCAAAAAAAAAAAAAAAAAAAAAAAAAAAAAAAAAAGGGCCCAACAGCCUAGAAAAUGAAUUCUCACCAAUUUGGUGAGAAUUCAUUUUCCUCAAUUUGGUGGAAAAUGGUAUAGGUGGCAUCAAAGUGGGAAAAUGAAUUCCAUAGAAAAAAACCUAUCAAACAUCAAUUUUUGGUUUAGGGUGGAAAUCAAAUUCCAUUUUCCAUGGAAUUCAUGCCUUUCAAACAUAGCCUAAGAUUUUUUAAUUUUUGAAUAUUUUUGGUGACCUCCAACCCAAACUAGAGGUGUACGUUUGGCACCGCGAAAAUUCGUUGGGUCUAGCAUGGUCUGGUCCAGACCAUACAUGAUAUGGUGAAGUCAUCUGGUAGGAUAAGUCUGAAAAUGAUGCUCCAAUACAAACAACACUAGAUGAGACUAACUCAGAGUGAGAGAAAAAGGACAGAGAC
RNAcentral lists this small RNA (644 nucleotides) under Olea europaea subsp. europaea. Lineage: Eukaryota; Viridiplantae; Streptophyta; Magnoliopsida; Lamiales; Oleaceae. The record is from RNAcentral.